Molecule: long non-coding RNA, 1223 nt
Filed under: Anolis carolinensis (green anole)
Lineage: Eukaryota; Metazoa; Chordata; Lepidosauria; Squamata; Anolidae
Description: lncRNA (ENSACAG00000036549.1)
Source: RNAcentral
GCACCAAUAACCAUACACAGAGGCCAGAAUCUAUCUAAUAUCUUUAUUGAGGAAAUAUAUAAAGUUAAUAAAAGCAAGUGUAGAAAAUAGUUCAGAAGUAGACCUUUCAGGAAAGGUCAAAAUUAGUCCAAGAAAACAAUGUCCAAUAUGAAAUAUUAAGGUCCAAAGUUGUAAUCCAAUAACCGAAACACUCACUUUGCCAAGCAAAGUGAGGGGAAUUGACAAGGUCCUUUAGUCCAUGAAGCUUAAAUCAAGGCUAGGAAGCAAACUAGAUUCUUGGCAAACAAGGCUCGAUUCAAGGCAACAAGAAGCGAGGAGCAAGAACUGGGUCCGUGGGAAAUCCGUGGCGAGGUCCGGGGAACAAGGCAGGGCUGGAACGAGAAGCGAGGAGCAAGAACUGGGUCCGUGGGAAAUCCGUGGCGAGGUCCGGGGAACAAGGCAGGGCUGGAACGAGAACAAGGUCCUGGAAACUGGAGUAGCGUAGUCCACACACAAUCUACUCCCGAAGCUGACGAAUUGACUCCGCAAGGAACCCUUUGUGGGCAAGCAUCUAUAUAGGAUCUUGUUUUCCCGCCAAAGCAGACUUUCUCUGGGGAACAAGAACCGAAACCUAAACUGUCCAGAUGCAGGACUCCUUAAACUUUCCCAAGGGAAGUAGACUUAAUCUUCUAAUUGUCUGGCAGCUAUCCGGGCGCUUCGGCGAGUCGCCUCCCGCGCGUGUCUAUCUUGAUUAUAAUAAAGGCGGCGGGAAAAUGUGGGAGAUUUCUCCUCAAGGCUUGUUUGUCUGACUUCUUGUGGGCAAACAUCCUGCAGCUGCAAGGGCUCCAAAUCUGGCAGAAACAGUGGGAAACCCAAGUUUUCCUCUUCAUCUGCCACAACAGUACUAGGAACGGGACUACAUGGCCCAUAAGUCAUCACACUGACCUGCAUUAUAUGGCUCUACAGUGAGCAGAUACUGCAGUUUAAACUACAUUAUAUGACUCUUCCAGAGGUGUCUGGCUAUAGGAGGAAUGUACAUAGUUACAAAGCAGAAAGCAUUUUGGACAUAUGUGUUGUCGAAGGCUUUCAUGGCCGGGAUCACAGGGUUGUUGUAUGUCUUUCGGGCUGUGUGGCCAUGUUCCAGAAGCAUUCUCUCCUGACGUUUCGCCCACAUCUAUGGCAGGCAUCCUCAGAGGUUGUGUUACCUCACAACCUCUGAGGAUGCCUGCCAUAGAUGCCACACA